Molecule: ribosomal RNA, 497 nt
Filed under: uncultured bacterium
Lineage: Bacteria
Description: partial 16S ribosomal RNA
Rfam family: Bacterial small subunit ribosomal RNA
Source: RNAcentral
GAUGAACGCUGGCGGCGUGCCUAAUACAUGCAAGUCGAGCGAACGGACGAGAAGCUUGCUUCUCUGAUGUUAGCGGCGGACGGGUGAGUAACACGUGGAUAACCUACCUAUAAGACUGGGAUAACUUCGGGAAACCGGAGCUAAUACCGGAUAAUAUUUUGAACCGCAUGGUUCAAAAGUGAAAGACGGUCUUGCUGUCACUUAUAGAUGGAUCCGCGCUGCAUUAGCUAGUUGGUAAGGUAACGGCUUACCAAGGCAACGAUGCAUAGCCGACCUGAGAGGGGGAUGGGCAAAAUUGGAACUGAGACACGGUGCAGGCUGCGACGGGAGGAAGAAGUAGGGAUUAUUCCGCAAGGUGCGAAAGCCGGACGGAGCAACGAGGGGUGAGUGAUGAAGGUCUUAGGAUCGUAAAACUCUGUUAUUAGGGAAGAACAAAUGUGUAAGUAACUAUGCACGUCUUGAAGGUACCUAAUCAGAAAGCCACGGCUAAAUACGUG